UACAGAGGGUGCGAGCGUUAAUCGGAAUUACUGGGCGUAAAGCGCGCGUAGGCGGCUUUGCAAGUCGGGUGUGAAAUCCCCAGGCUUAACCUGGGAACUGCAUUCGAGACUGCAUUGCUAGAGUAUGGGAGAGGGAAGUGGAAUUUCCGGUGUAGCGGUGAAAUGCGUAGAUAUCGGAAGGAACAUCAGUGGCGAAAGCGGCAUCCUGGACCGGCAUUGACGCUGAGGCGCGAAAGCUAGGGGAGCAAACGGG
RNAcentral lists this ribosomal RNA (253 nucleotides) under uncultured bacterium. RNAcentral's name for it is "partial 16S ribosomal RNA". It matches the Rfam family "Bacterial small subunit ribosomal RNA", at positions 524 to 776 of the family's 1533-position model. The record is from RNAcentral.